GUAAGUAAUAAUAUCAAUAAUGGCCGAUAUUUAUUGUGGGCUUGUAUACUAUGCUUCACAUGCAUUUCCUCAUUGAAAUCUUCAAACAACCCUGCAAGGGAGUCCUAUUACUAUGCCCCAAUUUACAGAUGAAGAGACUGAGGCACAGAAAAAGUGUGUGUAUCCUCUACACCCACUUGGUUGGAAGGUAAGAAAGUGAGGAAAGAGCUGAGACUGAGAGUCAGGAGUUCCACACUGUGGAGGGCUUGGAACGCCCACCAAGAGCUCAGAAUGGGGCCCAUGGGUGAGGGGCAGAGGGGUUGCUGAGAGGCUUCCUAGGAGCAUCUUGGGUACGAAAGUGGUCUGGGAAGGGAAGAGUCAGGUGGCAGAGAGCCCAGUUAGGAGGCUUUUGCAAAUAGGUCGUGUGUGAAGAGAGGAGGGAGGGCCCAGCGGGUUGGUGGCAGAGGCAAUGGAAAGGAGGGGAAGCAUGAGAAGAGUGGCUCAAAGACAACUCUGCAGGGCUUGGUGACUGUACUGGAAGAGGGUAGAGACAAGAAUGACUCUGAAGUUCCUGGCCUGGGCAACUGGAGGAGCCCUGGGGAAGAAGCCAUGUGUUUGGUUCAGAGAUUCAGGCAUUUGAUGGGCAGAUGGACCAUGGCCCAAGAUUUGAGGUUUGGAUGCUCCAGCAUGCAGUCAGCCACUCUGGUUUCCCUCUCGCUCCUGCACAGGUGUCUUUCUCCUACACCCUGCCAGGAUGCACAGAUGAAGACACUGAGGCCCAUGUCAUGAAGUGCCUUGCCAGGGAAAGCCUGGCUAAGUGUGUACAGAGCUGGAUUUCCAAUCCAGGCCGUCUGACUCAGUGCUCAUUACACUACUCUACGGCUUGGUGCUGGGCUGAGAGAAGGGGAUGUUGAUUCCAGAGUCUGGGGCUCCAUUUGGGGAACUGCUGAUCCUCAGGCAUCCAGACAGUUGUGGGAAAGAUACCUUUCAUCCUCUCCGUCCUCGAGAACUUCAGCAAUUUGUGGAUUCUAAGACAUCCUCCCCUGACUUCCUUGUCCGGGACUGCAACCACCUGGACCACGUGCUCAGCUGCAUUGCCCCUCUCAGAUGCUCAGAUGGGUUGGCUGCACGAGGGCAGGGAUGGGGCCUUUAUGCCUCGGUGAAGGCGGUGUCCAGCACAGGCCAGGCACACCAUAAGUGCUCAGUAUGCAGGCACUGAAUGAAUGAAAGAGAAUGAGUGAAAUGGUGACCUCUGCGUACAUUUAUGAGAAAUCUCAGGACAGGACUGAUACUGGAGGCCAUAGGGUGACAUUCCAGAGGUAGGCUCCUGCCAAAGGGCCCCUUCUCCCUCCCUCCCCUCCUGCUACUCCUCUGGAAUGAAAGGCCUAAAUGGUAGCAUCUCCCUAGAUCCUGGCCCUUUCUGUGGCGCAGCCAGGUACAAUGGAAAGCACACCAGCUUGGGAGCCAGGCAGAUCUGCAUUCUAAUCCUGCCUCCACACCUUACUGACUUGGGUGAAUAAAACUUCGCUGUGCCUC
RNAcentral lists this long non-coding RNA (1515 nucleotides) under Equus caballus (horse). RNAcentral describes it as "lncRNA (ENSECAG00000044650.1)". The record is from RNAcentral. Lineage: Eukaryota; Metazoa; Chordata; Mammalia; Perissodactyla; Equidae.